This 440-nucleotide ribosomal RNA is filed under the name uncultured bacterium. Its description in RNAcentral is "partial 16S ribosomal RNA". It matches the Rfam family "Bacterial small subunit ribosomal RNA", at positions 338 to 795 of the family's 1533-position model. The record is from RNAcentral.
CCUACGGGUGGCAGCAGUGGGGAAUAUUGCACAAUGGGGGAAACCCUGAUGCAGCGACGCCGCGUGAGUGAAGAAGUAAUUCGUUACGUAAAGCUCUAUCAGCAGGGACGAUAAUGACGGUACCUGAGUAAGAAGCCCCGGCUAACUACGUGCCAGCAGCCGCGGUAAUACGUAGGGGGCAAGCGUUAUCCGGAUUUACUGGGUGUAAAGGGCGCGUAGACGGGGGGGCAAGUCUGGAGUGAAAUGCCGGAGCUUAACUGCGGAACUGCUUUGGAAACUGGCGAACUAGAGUGCGGGAGGGGUAAGCGGAAUUCCUAGUGUAGCGGUGAAAUGCGUAGAUAUAAGGAGGAACACCGGUGGCGAAGGCGGCCUACUGGACAGUAACUGACGUUGAGGCUCGAAAGCGUGGGGAGCAAACAGGAUUAGAUACCCCUGUAGUC